Ailuropoda melanoleuca (giant panda) is the source of this 661-nucleotide long non-coding RNA. RefSeq lists it as uncharacterized. Lineage: Eukaryota; Metazoa; Chordata; Mammalia; Carnivora; Ursidae. The transcript is spliced from 3 exons. The record is from RefSeq and is a predicted model, not a curated record.
UCCUGCCAGAGAAAGUAGGAGGCAGAAGCCCUGUCCUUCCUGAUGAUUACAUUUCAAGAAAUGGCUUUCAGGUCCUUGAGAAAGUUACUCCUGAGUUGUAGAAAAUACAAAAGGACAGAGGAAGGAUUCAUAGUUAGUUGUAAGCCCUCUUCUAGUGAAUGUUCUAAGAAAGGGAGGUCAGAGGCCUAUCAUCAGGUGUUGUCUAGAACAAGCAGUAAAUUCUUUUGACGGCCCUGAGCUUUUCCAGAGAAGAACACCUUCAUCUCUCUCUUUCUCUCUCUCUCUCUUCCUCUCGCUCUCUCCCCUGCCUCCCUCUCUUUCUCUGUCUCUCUCUCCUCCCACUCCACUCCCCCACUCUCUUAUUCCCUCUACUGUUAUCUGACAGGAUGAAGUCUAGAAAACAGAAACUACCACUGUGCCGGAAUGCUGAAACGAAGAAGCUGUCACUGCAGCCAGCGUGUCUGCCUUGCAACACUAGGGACGUAAGAAAGUGGAUUCCUAAAGCUAGAAGCUCGGCAUUAACUCUUGACAUCCAAGAAGCUGCAAAGAGGAUGCUGGAAGUUAGCUGCAGGAACACCUCAUGUUUCCACAACAUUGUUUGGAGAGAGCACAAGCAGAGGGAGCGACAGGCAGAGGGAGAGGAAGCAGCAGGCUCCCGCUG